RNAcentral lists this ribosomal RNA (445 nucleotides) under uncultured bacterium. RNAcentral's name for it is "partial 16S ribosomal RNA". It matches the Rfam family "Bacterial small subunit ribosomal RNA", at positions 354 to 796 of the family's 1533-position model. The record is from RNAcentral.
GUGAGGAAUAUUGGUCAAUGGGCGAGAGCCUGAACCAGCCAAGUCGCGUGAAGGAAGAAGGAUCUAUGGUUCGUAAACUUCUUUUGCAGGGGAAUAAAGUGCAGGACGUGUCCUGUUUUGUAUGUACCCUGAGAAUAAGGAUCGGCUAACUCCGUGCCAGCAGCCGCGGUAAUACGGAGGAUCCGAGCGUUAUCCGGAUUUAUUGGGUUUAAAGGGUGCGUAGGUGGUUUGAUAAGUCAGCGGUGAAAGGUUGCAGCUUAACUGUAAAAAUGCCGUUGAAACUGUCGGACUUGAGUGUAAAUGAGGUAGGCGGAAUGCGUGGUGUAGCGGUGAAAUGCAUAGAUAUCACGCAGAACUCCGAUUGCGAAGGCAGCUUACUAAGCUACAACUGACACUGAAGCACGAAAGCGUGGGGAUCAAACAGGAUUAGAAACCCUGGUAGUCC